UGAGGUAUUUAUUCAUGUUGAG
Molecule: microRNA, 22 nt
Filed under: Panagrellus redivivus
Lineage: Eukaryota; Metazoa; Nematoda; Chromadorea; Rhabditida; Panagrolaimidae
Description: prd-miR-7892-3p
Source: miRBase by way of RNAcentral